AAAACAGCCCUACGGGAGGCAGCAGUGGGGAAUAUUGGACAAUGGGCGAAAGCCUGAUCCAGCCAUGCCGCGUGAGUGAUGAAGGCCUUAGGGUUGUAAAGCUCUUUCAGCUGGGAAGAUAAUGACGGUACCAGCAGAAGAAGCCCCGGCUAACUUCGUGCCAGCAGCCGCGGUAAUACGAAGGGGGCUAGCGUUGUUCGGAAUCACUGGGCGUAAAGCGCACGUAGGCGGAUCGAUAAGUCAGGGGUGAAAUCCCGAGGCUCAACCUCGGAACUGCCUUUGAUACUGUCGACCUUGAGUCCGGGAGAGGUGAGUGGAACUCCGAGUGUAGAGGUGAAAU
This 340-nucleotide ribosomal RNA is filed under the name uncultured bacterium. RNAcentral's name for it is "bacterial SSU rRNA". It matches the Rfam family "Bacterial small subunit ribosomal RNA", at positions 330 to 687 of the family's 1533-position model. The record is from RNAcentral.